CAUAUUCUUAGACCAUUCAACA
RNAcentral lists this non-coding RNA (22 nucleotides) under Arabidopsis thaliana (thale cress). The record is from RNAcentral. Lineage: Eukaryota; Viridiplantae; Streptophyta; Magnoliopsida; Brassicales; Brassicaceae.